Molecule: ribosomal RNA, 253 nt
Filed under: uncultured bacterium
Lineage: Bacteria
Description: partial 16S ribosomal RNA
Rfam family: Bacterial small subunit ribosomal RNA
Source: RNAcentral
UACGUAGGUGGCAAGCGUUAUCCGGAUUUAUUGGGUGUAAAGGGCGUGUAGGCGGGAGCGCAAGUCAGAUGUGAAAACUCAGGGCUCAACCCUGAGCCUGCAUUUGAAACUGUGUUUCUUGAGUGCUGGAGAGGCAAUCGGAAUUCCGUGUGUAGCGGUGAAAUGCGUAGAUAUACGGAGGAACACCAGUGGCGAAGGCGGAUUGCUGGACAGUAACUGACGCUGAGGCGCGAAAGCGUGGGGAUCGAACAGG